GUGAGUCAUCGAAUCUUUGAACGCACCUUGCGCCUUUUGGUAUUCCGAAAGGCAUGCCUGUUUGAGUGUCAUGUAGACUCAACUCUCGAGAGGUUUCUUGCGAGUUGGAUUUGGGUGUUGCCGUUUGGCUCGCCUUAAAAGUGUUAGUGGUUUAAGCACUUGAUCGGACGUGAUAAGUUUCGUCCGGCCGUGUGUUGUCAACCGCUCCUAAACCGCCUUGCGGCGCUCUUUGACUCUGACCUCAAAUCAGGUAGGACUACCCGCUGAACUUAAGCAUAUCAAUAAGCGGAGGA
This 293-nucleotide unclassified non-coding RNA is filed under the name Basidiomycota sp. RNAcentral's name for it is "partial contains 5.8S ribosomal RNA, internal transcribed spacer 2, and large subunit ribosomal RNA". The stretch from base 1 to 71 matches the Rfam family "5.8S ribosomal RNA", at positions 84 to 154 of the family's 154-position model. Lineage: Eukaryota; Fungi; Basidiomycota. The record is from RNAcentral.